AGUCACGUGGUCUUGUGGUAAGAUUCUUGGCUUUGACGCGAGAGGUCCCGGGUUCAAUCCCGCUGUGGCUU
This 71-nucleotide transfer RNA is filed under the name Caenorhabditis briggsae. It matches the Rfam family "tRNA". Rfam says of the family: Transfer RNA (tRNA) molecules are approximately 80 nucleotides in length. Their secondary structure includes four short double-helical elements and three loops (D, anti-codon, and T loops). Further hydrogen bonds mediate the characteristic L-shaped molecular structure. tRNAs have two regions of fundamental functional importance: the anti-codon, which is responsible for specific mRNA codon recognition, and the 3' end, to which the tRNAs corresponding amino acid is attached (by aminoacyl-tRNA synthetases). tRNAs cope with the degeneracy of the genetic code in two manners: having more than one tRNA (with a specific anti-codon) for a particular amino acid; and 'wobble' base-pairing, i.e. permitting non-standard base-pairing at the 3rd anti-codon position. Lineage: Eukaryota; Metazoa; Nematoda; Chromadorea; Rhabditida; Rhabditidae. The record is from Rfam by way of RNAcentral.